RNAcentral lists this ribosomal RNA (464 nucleotides) under Vreelandella stevensii. RNAcentral describes it as "partial 16S ribosomal RNA". It matches the Rfam family "Bacterial small subunit ribosomal RNA", at positions 338 to 795 of the family's 1533-position model. The record is from RNAcentral. Lineage: Bacteria; Pseudomonadati; Pseudomonadota; Gammaproteobacteria; Oceanospirillales; Halomonadaceae.
CCUACGGGUGGCAGCAGUGGGGAAUAUUGGACAAUGGGGGCAACCCUGAUCCAGCCAUGCCGCGUGUGUGAAGAAGGCCCUCGGGUUGUAAAGCACUUUCAGUGAGGAAGAACGCCUGGUGGUUAAUACCCAUCAGGAAAGACAUCACUCACAGAAGAAGCACCGGCUAACUCCGUGCCAGCAGCCGCGGUAAUACGGAGGGUGCGAGCGUUAAUCGGAAUUACUGGGCGUAAAGCGCGCGUAGGUGGCUUGAUAAGCCGGUUGUGAAAGCCCCGGGCUCAACCUGGGAACGGCAUCCGGAACUGUCAAGCUAGAGUGCAGGAGAGGAAGGUAGAAUUCCCGGUGUAGCGGUGAAAUGCGUAGAGAUCGGGAGGAAUACCAGUGGCGAAGGCGGCCUUCUGGACUGACACUGACACUGAGGUGCGAAAGCGUGGGUAGCAAACAGGAUUAGAUCCCCAGUAGUC